This is a long non-coding RNA of Monopterus albus (swamp eel), 882 nucleotides long. RefSeq lists it as uncharacterized. The record is from RefSeq and is a predicted model, not a curated record. The transcript is spliced from 4 exons. Lineage: Eukaryota; Metazoa; Chordata; Actinopteri; Synbranchiformes; Synbranchidae.
UAUAAAAAGGUGGAGCUUAAAGCACGCCAAUUUAGAAUCUAGGCGAGCUGCGGGCUCUGGAGGAGAAGAAACACAAGUCACAGGGGGGAAACGUAGGCAAGAGUACAAGUACUAGAGCAGGUGGCAGUGGCCAGAGGAACCUGCCUCUGGCUUGGACUACACAUCUGAGCUGCUGAAGAUGAUAACCAACAAUAGGGAACACCUACAGUAAAUUAAACUGUGGAAAGGCAAGUUCACCAGAACAACAAACAUGGUACAAUUUCAUACAUAAAUUUGUAAAAGUUAAAUUACUCCCAUCUUCAGAGAUUCUCUGUGCAGGCAUUUUGUAGGAUACAGUGGGGGCUUUUUUGUAUGAAGUCUGUGCUCUUUAAAUAAAAGUAGCAGUGCAGUGAAAGUAGGUGACACUAAUCUCACACAAGGUGAGAGGUGUAUUCAUUGAGCUUUUCUAGAGCUUUCAAUUACCAUUGCAGGCUUUCUCAUCCACGGUUGCUUCAAAUUAAUUUUUGCAUCUAGAUUUUGUGACAUAGCAGCAGGACCAAAUGUGCUUUGUAUAGAUUUUCCCCACAGCCUACAGUACAUGUCCCGUUUGUGGCAACAUCAAGAAGUCGCAGCCACACAACACCAGUGAAGAUGACCCAAAAGCUCAUGGGCUCACUACAGAUGUCUGGAUGUCAGGAUCUGCUACUUCAGCUAACUAUUCAGAUGGCUUGAUGGGGAUGAACCCGUCUGACCAGGAGAAAGGGAUGAAAUCUGCCUUUCCACCAGUAAUUCAGAUGGCUAUUCCUUAAACAUGUGCCCUGGCAUAAGAACCCCAGUCAGCAUCAAAAAUCCUACAACAGGAUUGAGGACAUACAUGGAGACAGGCAAGUUGGUUUAAAAUGG